CGAAACGUAUACAACAGGACCAGCAGCUGUCAAAUAAGUGAGGUUAGACUCGUCAUAUGCAGCGCUCUAUUAAAAAAAUAGGAUCUCGCUGAUCUGAUCAUCCGAUCAAUCUAAUUGAUAUUUUCAUUCAGAAAUUCACAAAGCAUCUUAUGGAGAACAACCCUACCAAAGAUCUCUUCAGGAAAAAACGUCAAAAAUUAAUAAUGACGUGAAUUGCAAAUUGUCAGGCACUCGUGCAUCUCUUGGACAUAUUUUCUUGUUUGGCCCAUAUAGGUUUUCCCGAUUUCCCGGAUGGAUGGACACCCUGAAUUUGAUUAGAGCAAUAGGUUUUCCUCCAAAAUUAUCGUUCAGAAUUUCUCUAAGGAUACCUUUGGCAAAUUAUUCCAGAGAUUAUUUCAUAAAAUAAAAGAAUGUACCAGCGAUGUAUCCAGUGAAAAACCAAAAUAUUUUUUCAAAAAAUAUUGUUCAAAAUUUUGAAUACAUCCUAAAGGUAAUUGUAACGACAGAUCUAAGAUAAACUUUGGUGAAACAUGUGUAAGUUCUAAAGUAAUCCUCGACAAACUUCUACAAGAACCUCUGAAAAAAAUUCUGGAUUUUUAAGAUUUUU
This is a long non-coding RNA of Aedes aegypti (yellow fever mosquito), 607 nucleotides long. RefSeq lists it as uncharacterized. NCBI's taxonomy places the organism in Eukaryota, Metazoa, Arthropoda, Insecta, Diptera, Culicidae. The record is from RefSeq and is a predicted model, not a curated record. The transcript is spliced from 2 exons.